Molecule: long non-coding RNA, 742 nt
Filed under: Malus domestica (apple)
Lineage: Eukaryota; Viridiplantae; Streptophyta; Magnoliopsida; Rosales; Rosaceae
Description: long non-coding RNA (MDOM_LNC016313)
Source: RNAcentral
UUUUUUUUUGGUAAACUGAAUUUAUAACAAGGUCAAAGCCAAAAAAGAGGGAAGUCCACAACAAGGAUCAACCAACAAAUAUAACACAAAGAAACUACUUCAGGUGAUAGAGGAAGCAAGGACCCGACACAAACCACAACAUUGUGUCACCCUAAAUCACUUGAACCAAAUCAAGACUUAAGGUGGACACGGUAAACUAUCCUUGUUCAAGAUAUGAACUAUCGAAGAUGAAGGUCUCUCAACCCAAGUAUAAUCGCUCAUCUCUGAGUUCUUGGAAGAAGCUAAUCGAUCAGCAACCAUGUUGGCCGAUUUAGGCACCCAGGACCAAUGACACAUCUAGAAAAAAGUUGUUCGCACACAUAAUUUUCCUUAAGCCUGGAACCAUGUCCCAUCUGCCAUUGAAUAUGGAAUUACUUAAGCUUAAAAUUACUUCCUUUGAAUCUGAUUCCAUAACGAUUUUAUCUAACUCCAAGUUCUUGGCAAGCAUACACCCAUCCAAGAUCGCCUUUUGCUCCGCCACUUGAACGCUUAACGCCGAGAUACAUGAUUUCCUUGCAGUAACAAACUUACCAUUUGAAUCUCUAAUUACCAUUGCAAAUAUUUCCUUUCUUCAUUGUAGCAUUCCAGCUAACAUCCAUAUUAACUUUAAACAAUGACCAAUCAGGUGGAGACCAAGCAAAGAUGGGUUAAGAAUUACCAUGGAGAUUUCCAUGGUUGUUUGAGCUUGUCCGCCUCCCACUUG